Molecule: non-coding RNA, 73 nt
Organism: Trichonephila clavipes
Lineage: Eukaryota; Metazoa; Arthropoda; Arachnida; Araneae; Nephilidae
Source: the annotation of a GenBank genome assembly
GUCCCUGUAGCGCAAUGGAUAGCGCAUUGGAAUUCUAAUCCAAAUGUCAUGGGUUCGAAUCCCACCUGGGAAG